Molecule: long non-coding RNA, 702 nt
Organism: Fukomys damarensis (Damara mole-rat)
Lineage: Eukaryota; Metazoa; Chordata; Mammalia; Rodentia; Bathyergidae
Exons: 3
Source: RefSeq, a predicted model, not a curated record
UAUUACUUUUGGGGACGUGGUUGAGACAAGCUUGCCUUGAACUCACUGUGUAGCCUAGGCUGGCCUUGCCUCAGACUCCUCGGUGCUGGUGUUACAGGCGUGCACCACCACUCCGGGUGUUUGCAUUGUUUUCGAUAGACCUUUGUAAGAGUACCAACAUACCUUAAGGAAAAGCGAGAACCACUCAGAAGUGGUGGUGUGCGCUUGUAAUCCCAGCGUGAGGAAGCUGAAUCAGGAGGAUUUCUGCGAGUUCAAGGUUGGUAAGAAUCAAACUUCCUGUGUGACAAGCAGCAGUGGCCUACUGAGGAGUGAGGUGGUGACACAUGGUCACAUUUGUGUCAGACUACAGCAGCAUCACCACACCCAGUGACUGAAUCCUGUACAGAAGGACUGGUUUAGCUAAGCCAGUUUCGGUUUUCCUAGAGUGAAGAGGAGCAGCAGAGUGUACGUCAUUGGAUCGAACUCGGGACCUUGCGCUUGCGGUUCUUUCCAGGGUGAAAGGAAGAGUGAGCAGUUACAGUUGUCAUUGUAUUUAAUGUAUUUUAAACAAUAAAGAGUUGGCAAGCCGGUUCAUUUCCAAAAUUUAAAAAAAAUUGCUGCUUUCCAAACUUGUUCAUGGUCUUGUCCUGUGGAAUUCAUUGCCUUGAAGGUCGUGUGGACCAACAUGAUCACAUGAUUGUGUCACGGGAGAGUGUGAAGCCC